UAUGGAGAGUUUGAUCCUGGCUCAGGAUGAACGCUGGCGGCGUGCCUAAUACAUGCAAGUCGAGCGAACGGACGAGAAGCUUGCUUCUCUGAUGUUAGCGGCGGACGGGUGAGUAACACGUGGAUAACCUACCUAUAAGACUGGGAUAACUUCGGGAAACCGGAGCUAAUACCGGAUAAUAUUUUGAACCGCAUGGUUCAAAAGUGAAAGACGGUCUUGCUGUCACUUAUAGAUGGAUCCGCGCUGCAUUAGCUAGUUGGUAAGGUAACGGCUUACCAAGGCAACGAUGCAUAGCCGACCUGAGAGGGUGAUCGGCCACACUGGAACUGAGACACGGUCCAGACUCCUACGGGAGGCAGCAGUAGGGAAUCUUCCGCAAUGGGCGAAAGCCUGACGGAGCAACGCCGCGUGAGUGAUGAAGGUCUUCGGAUCGUAAAACUCUGUUAUUAGGGAAGAACAUAUGUGUAAGUAACUGUGCACAUCUUGACGGUACCUAAUCAGAAAGCCACGGCUAACUACGUGCCAGCAGCCGCGGUAAUACGUAGGUGGCAAGCGUUAUCCGGAAUUAUUGGGCGUAAAGCGCGCGUAGGCGGUUUUUUAAGUCUGAUGUGAAAGCCCACGGCUCAACCGUGGAGGGUCAUUGGAAACUGGAAAACUUGAGUGCAGAAGAGGAAAGUGGAAUUCCAUGUGUAGCGGUGAAAUGCGCAGAGAUAUGGAGGAACACCAGUGGCGAAGGCGACUUUCUGGUCUGUAACUGACGCUGAUGUGCGAAAGCGUGGGGAUCAAACAGGAUUAGAUACCCUGGUAGUCCACGCCGUAAACGAUGAGUGCUAAGUGUUAGGGGGUUUCCGCCCCUUAGUGCUGCAGCUAACGCAUUAAGCACUCCGCCUGGGGAGUACGACCGCAAGGUUGAAACUCAAAGGAAUUGACGGGGACCCGCACAAGCGGUGGAGCAUGUGGUUUAAUUCGAAGCAACGCGAAGAACCUUACCAAAUCUUGACAUCCUUUGACAACUCUAGAGAUAGAGCCUUCCUCUUCGGGGGACAAAGUGACAGGUGGUGCAUGGUUGUCGUCAGCUCGUGUCGUGAGAUGUUGGGUUAAGUCCCGCAACGAGCGCAACCCUUAAGCUUAGUUGCCAUCAUUAAGUUGGGCACUCUAAGUUGACUGCCGGUGACAAACCGGAGGAAGGUGGGGAUGACGUCAAAUCAUCAUGCCCCUUAUGAUUUGGGCUACACACGUGCUACAAUGGACAAUACAAAGGGCAGCGAAACCGCGAGGUCAAGCAAAUCCCAUAAAGUUGUUCUCAGUUCGGAUUGUAGUCUGCAACUCGACUACAUGAAGCUGGAAUCGCUAGUAAUCGUAGAUCAGCAUGCUACGGUGAAUACGUUCCCGGGUCUUGUACACACCGCCCGUCACACCACGAGAGUUUGUAACACCCGAAGCCGGUGGAGUAACCUUUUAGGAGCUAGCCGUCGAAGGUGGGACAAAUGAUUGGGGUGAAGUCGUAACAAGGUAGCCGUAUCGGAAGGUGCGGCUGGAUCACCUCCUU
This 1549-nucleotide ribosomal RNA is filed under the name Staphylococcus aureus. RNAcentral's name for it is "16S ribosomal RNA". It matches the Rfam family "Bacterial small subunit ribosomal RNA". The record is from RNAcentral. Lineage: Bacteria; Bacillati; Bacillota; Bacilli; Caryophanales; Staphylococcaceae.